AUACGGAAGGUCCGGGCGUUAUCCGGAUUUAUUGGGUUUAAAGGGAGCGCAGGCGGAGAUGCAAGCGUGACGUCAAAUUUCGGGGCUCAACCCCGUCUCGCGUCGCGAACUGCGUCCCUUGGUUGCGGGAAGGGGAGGCGGAACUCGUGGUGUAGCCGUGAAAUGCAUAGAUAUCACGAAGAACUCCGAUCGCGAAGGCAGCCUUCCGGCCCGUCAACGACGCUCAUGCUCGAAGGUGCGGGUAUCAAACAGGAUUAGAUACCCUGGUAGUCCGCACAGUAAACGAUGGACACCCGCGGUUUGGCCUGUAUGGCUGAGCCGCCAAGCGAAAGCGUUAAGUGUCCCACCUGGGGAGUACGCCGGCAACGGUGAAACUUAAAGGAAUUGACGGGG
Molecule: ribosomal RNA, 393 nt
Filed under: uncultured bacterium
Lineage: Bacteria
Description: partial 16S ribosomal RNA
Rfam family: Bacterial small subunit ribosomal RNA
Source: RNAcentral